GAUGAACGCUGGCGGCGUGCCUAAUACAUGCAAGUCGAGCGAACGGACGAGAAGCUUGCUUCUCUGAUGUUAGCGGCGGACGGGUGAGUAACACGUGGAUAACCUACCUAUAAGACUGGGAUAACUUCGGGAAACCGGAGCUAAUACCGGAUGAUAUUUUGAACCGCAUGGUUCAAAAGUGAAAGACGGUCUUGCUGUCACUUAUAGAUGGAUCCGCGCUGCAUUAGCUAGUUGGUAAGGUAACGGCUUACCAAGGCAACGAUGCAUAGCCGACCUGAGAGGGGGAUCGGCCACACUGGAACGGAGACACGGUCCAGACGCCUACGGGAGGCAGCAGUAGGGAAUCUUCCGCAAUGGGCGAAAGCCUGACGGAGCAACGCCGCGUGAGUGAUGAAGGUCUUCGGAUCGUAAAACUCUGUUAUUAGGGAAGAACAUAUGUGUAAGUAACUGUGCACAUCUUGACGGUACCUAAUCAGAAAGCCACGGCUAACUACGUG
RNAcentral lists this ribosomal RNA (497 nucleotides) under uncultured bacterium. Its description in RNAcentral is "partial 16S ribosomal RNA". It matches the Rfam family "Bacterial small subunit ribosomal RNA", at positions 28 to 507 of the family's 1533-position model. The record is from RNAcentral.